GAACGAAGCUGGUUAGAGGCUCUUAGUAUUUUGGCGAUAUCCGGCAGCGCUGCCACAAGGAUGUGGCAACGAGGCACAAUGGAACAUGGAUGUGACUUUGUGCCGUCUGCCGCCGUAUCCAUAAUAUCUGCAAAAUACUUAGAGCCUCUUAACAGCAAAGUGG
Regulatory RNA element from Roseburia sp. CAG:45, 163 nucleotides. NCBI's taxonomy places the organism in Bacteria, Bacillati, Bacillota, Clostridia, Lachnospirales, Lachnospiraceae. The record is from Rfam.